This 253-nucleotide ribosomal RNA is filed under the name uncultured bacterium. Its description in RNAcentral is "partial 16S ribosomal RNA". It matches the Rfam family "Bacterial small subunit ribosomal RNA", at positions 524 to 776 of the family's 1533-position model. The record is from RNAcentral.
UACGUAGGGGGCUAGCGUUGUCCGGAUUUAUUGGGGGUAAAGCGCUUGUAGGCGGCCGGCUAGGUCUGGUGUGAAAACUCGAGGCUCAACCUCGAGAUGUCGCCGGAAACCAGUCGGCUAGAGACCGGAAGAGGAGAGUGGAAUUCCUGGUGUAGCGGUGAAAUGCGCAGAUAUCAGGAAGAACACCUAUGGCGAAAGCAGCUCUCUGGGACGGUACUGACGCUGAGACGCGAAAGCGUGGGGAGCGAACAGG